UGUGAACUCGAAGAGUAGGGCGGGACACGUGGUAUCCUGUCUGAAUAUGGGGGGACCAUCCUCCAAGGCUAAAUACUCCUGACUGACCGAUAGUGAACCAGUACCGUGAGGGAAAGGCGAAAAGAACCCCGGCGAGGGGAGUGAAAAAGAACCUGAAACCGUGUACGUACAAGCAGUGGGAGCACCUUCGGGUGUGACUGCGUACCUUUUGUAUAAUGGGUCAGCGACUUAUAUUCUGUAGCAAGGUUAACCGUAUAGGGGAGCCGCAGGGAAACCGAGUCUUAACUGGGCGUUAAGUUGCAGGGUAUAGACCCGAAACCCGGUGAUCUAGCCAUGGGCAGGUUGAAGGUUGGGUAACACUAACUGGAGGACCGAACCGACUAAUGUUGAAAAAUUAGCGGAUGACUUGUGGCUGGGGGUGAAAGGCCAAUCAAACCGGGAGAUAGCUGGUUCUCCCCGAAAGCUAUUUAGGUAGCGCCUCGUGAAUUCAUCUUCGGGGGUAGAGCACUGUUUCGGCUAGGGGGUCAUCCCGACUUACCAACCCGAUGCAAACUACGAAUACCGAAGAAUGUUAUCACGGGAGACACACGGCGGGUGCUAACGUCCGUCGUGAAGAGGGAAACAACCCAGACCGCCAGCUAAGGUCCCAAAGUCAUGGUUAAGUGGGAAACGAUGUGGGAAGGCACAGACAGCCAGGAUGUUGGCUUAGAAGCAGCCAUCAUUUAAAGAAAGCGUAAUAGCUCACUGGUCGAGUCGGCCUGCGCGGAAGAUGUAACGGGGCUAAACCAUGCACCGAAGCUGCGGCAGCGACACUAUGUGUUGUUGGGUAGGGGAGCGUUCUGUAAGCCUGCGAAGGUGACCUGUGAGGGUUGCUGGAGGUAUCAGAAGUGCGAAUGCUGACAUAAGUAACGAUAAAGCGGGUGAAAAGCCCGCUCGCCGGAAGACCAAGGGUUCCUGUCCAACGUUAAUCGGGGCAGGGUGAGUCGACCCCUAAGGCGAGGCCGAAAGGCGUAGUCGAUGGGAAACAGGUUAAUAUUCCUGUACUUGGUGUUACUGCGAAGGGGGGACGGAGAAGGCUAUGUUAGCCGGGCGACGGUUGUCCCGGUUUAAGCAUGUAGGCUGGUUGUCCAGGCAAAUCCGGAUAAUCAAGGCUGAGGUGUGAUGACGAGGCACUACGGUGCUGAAGUAACAAAUGCCCUGCUUCCAGGAAAAGCCUCUAAGCAUCAGGUAACAUCAAAUCGUACCCCAAACCGACACAGGUGGUCAGGUAGAGAAUACCAAGGCGCUUGA
RNAcentral lists this ribosomal RNA (1290 nucleotides) under Klebsiella pneumoniae. RNAcentral's name for it is "partial 23S ribosomal RNA". It matches the Rfam family "Bacterial large subunit ribosomal RNA", at positions 398 to 1693 of the family's 2925-position model. The record is from RNAcentral. Lineage: Bacteria; Pseudomonadati; Pseudomonadota; Gammaproteobacteria; Enterobacterales; Enterobacteriaceae.